RNAcentral lists this ribosomal RNA (253 nucleotides) under uncultured bacterium. RNAcentral's name for it is "partial 16S ribosomal RNA". It matches the Rfam family "Bacterial small subunit ribosomal RNA", at positions 524 to 776 of the family's 1533-position model. The record is from RNAcentral.
UAUGGGGGGUGCAAGCGUUGUUCGGAUUUACUGGGCGUAAAGGGCGUGUAGGCGGAUCGGCAAGCUGGGGGUGAAAUCCCUGAGCUCAACCCGGGACGUGCUUCCAGAACUACCGAUCUUGAGAGAGGCAGAGGCAGGUGGAAUUCCAGGUGUAGAGGUGAAAGUCGUAGAGAUCUGGAGGAACACCGGCGGCGAAGGCGGCCUGCUGGGCCUUAUCUGACGCUGAGGCGCGAAAGCGUGGGGAGCAAACAGG